Molecule: long non-coding RNA, 970 nt
Organism: Physeter macrocephalus (sperm whale)
Lineage: Eukaryota; Metazoa; Chordata; Mammalia; Artiodactyla; Physeteridae
Exons: 3
Source: RefSeq, a predicted model, not a curated record
CCUCCAGUGCGGUCGGGCGCGGGGUGGGGUCCUCCUCGAUCCCGUGGUGCUCCGCGGCGCGGCCUCGCUCUCUUCCGGUCGUGAGUAGCCGGGGCGUAGAGGGCGGUCGUUGGCGGGCCCGGUGAGCAGCGGCUGGGCUGCGGCAGAAUGUUGGCUACCAGAGUAUUUAGCCUAAUUGGCAAGCGAGCAAUUUCCACUUCGGUGUGUGUACGGGCACACGGUUCAAGUUCAAGUUCCACCCCUUUUAAGAGAUUCCCCACUGUACCGGACUUUAACACUCUCCCCCUCCGACAAAACUCCCAGCCACUUACCUUGAACACGGUUUACGUUAUUGGGACAAUGGAAGGGAAGGAGCUUGGACUUCCUCGCCUGAACUGGGUUUAAUCUCAUUUCUACCUUGGACUAGUUACUCAAGUUUAGGAACGUGUUUUCUCACGGAAAUGUAUGUAAACAGCUUAGUGCAGUGCCUGGCACAUAGCAAGUUUAGUUUUGCAUUUAUCAAGCAUCUUUGUACUUGUCCCUGUUAGGCACUUAGAGUAAAAGAAUAUGAGAUAUGCAAUCAACCCCCAAGAAUGUGUGCAGUCUGGAGAGGGAAGAUACAUGAAGGCAGCGCUUCAGUAAGAGACGGACCCCGAGGAGAAACAUUUAGCCUGGCCUCUAGGGUACAGGGGAGGCUUCUGGAGGAGAGGGCUUGCUCUGCUGAAGGGCUAGUAGGUUUAACGUCACAUUCCAGAGGGGAGCGGCAUCCAGUCAGAGGGACAGCAAGCGGGAGGGGGAAGCGCCAGUCAGUGUGGCAGGUUGUGUUACUGAGGGGUCGAGGGCAAGGCUUGAGUGGUGGGUGAUAAAGAGAGCAAGGCUUAUGUAUCCAGGGGCUCCAAAGCUGCUGCCUGAGUUGCUUUGUGUAUGAAUUUUUCCUUGAAGUUGUGUCCUUUAAUUGGCAGUACUGUCGUCUUACAUUUCUCUAUAUUAU